Molecule: ribosomal RNA, 253 nt
Filed under: uncultured bacterium
Lineage: Bacteria
Description: partial 16S ribosomal RNA
Rfam family: Bacterial small subunit ribosomal RNA
Source: RNAcentral
UACGAAGGGUGCAAGCGUUACUCGGAAUUACUGGGCGUAAAGCGUGCGUAGGUGGUUUGUUAAGUCUGAUGUGAAAGCCCUGGGCUCAACCUGGGAAUUGCAUUGGAUACUGGCAGGCUAGAGUGCGGUAGAGGAUGGCGGAAUUCCCGGUGUAGCAGUGAAAUGCGUAGAGAUCGGGAGGAACACCGGUGGCGAAGGCGGCGAUCUGGGAAGAUACUGACGCUGAGGUGCGAAAGCGUGGGGAGCAAACAGG